GCUGCUUCUGUAAAUGCUUAAGAAUCGGCGCAAGCAGCUUCAGAGCAUGUGUUUUGAAUGUAAUGCUUUGGGCAAUCAAUUUAAGGGUAUCAUAUGACUUCUGCUUCCUAGUCUCUUUCAUCUUUGAAGCAAUCUUCUCAACCUCUUUCUCCUCUGAAACAUCACUAAGUAUAUCAUUUACUGCAAUGGAGAGAAGAUCCUCUAAACAAUAAUCCAACUUCCCACUACUGGGAUUUAGAAGAAACUUUGAUAGUAGAAAAUUGAGAGUGAAUCCUAAAACAUGCAAUUCAAAUCCUCUCUUCAGAGUGCCUCUCAAGACUUUGACAACAAAUUGCAAGUACUCCAGCCCUAGUUCUUUUAAACAAGCAGCCAAAGCAGCUCUGGCUUCAUCACGAACACUUUCCAAACGAUUCUUAAGGAAAUUCGCGAUG
Molecule: unclassified non-coding RNA, 431 nt
Filed under: Hevea brasiliensis (rubber tree)
Lineage: Eukaryota; Viridiplantae; Streptophyta; Magnoliopsida; Malpighiales; Euphorbiaceae
Source: RNAcentral